CACGCGCGGUGUUCUGCCUCCAGUCGGUCGCGAUAGCGCUCUCCAUCCUGCCGCCGCCGCCUACCAUUUCUGCCAUUCCUGUCUAUUCCCAUCGUUGAAACCGCUCGCCCUCUCCACGUGACAUCCAAACGCGACCGCCCCCUCCCCACCCCCACCAGCCGCCCGCCUCCUCUGCGUCGCAUCCGCCGCGAGCUCGGGGCGGGACAGCCUCCACGGCGGCGGGGUCACGCUGAACAGGGAGCCGCUGCAGGGCCGGCGCCUGCACGCCAUCUCCGUGUAUGUGAGCGGGAUGCUGACCGUGCGCGAGACGCUGCUGUUCGCCGCUGAGUUCUGCCUGCCCUGCGCGCUUUCCUCAGAGCGGAAGCGCGCGCGCGUCGACCAGCUCGGCCUCUUCUACGCUGCCGACACCAUCAACGGCUGGCGGCAGCGGCGUUCCUAUCGCAGCCAUGCGCCGUCGACGUCGUCUACGGGGAGGUGUGGGCAGGACGGCUGGCACUGCCGGUGGUGAACGGGGAAGAGCUGUUUGCACGCGGGCUGUUGGGUGUCGAGCUCGCCCCGAUGACGUUCCGUCGUUCGCAGCAAAGCCAGACUGGUGCCCUGUGUUCCUUCGGGCAUCACUACGGCAAUUUGAGGGGCUAGAGGACGCCGCCGACGUGCUCGUCAACUCAUUCCACGAGAUCGAACCCAAGGAGGCAGAUUAUAUGGCCCUAACAUGGCAUGCAAAGACAAUAGGCCCAACAUUGCCAUCAUUUUAUCUUGAUGAUGACUGUUUGCCGUUGAACAAGACUUACGGUUUCAACCUCUUCAACAGCAGUGAGUCAUGUCUGGCUUGGCUCGACAAACAGCUUCCGUGUUCUGUUGUUCUUGUAUCCUAUGGUACUGUCUCUGAUUAUGAUGAAGCACAGUUAGAGGAGCUUGGCAAUGGAUUGUACAAUUCUGGCAAACCAUUCAUUUGGGUUGUGAGGUCAAACGAAGAACAUAAGUUGUCCAAUGAACUCCGUGACAAGUGCAAGGAACGUGGCCUUAUUGUUUCUUAGUGCCCCCAGCUGGAAGUUCUAGCACAUAAAGCUACAGGUUGUUUCUUCACACAUUGCGGAUGGAACUCAACAUUGGAAGCAAUUGUUAAUGGUGUGCCAAUGGUGGCAAUACCACACUGGGCAGACUAGCCGACCAUAUCAAAAUAUAUGGAGAGCAUGUGGGGCUUGGGUGUCCGGGUGCGCAAGGAUGAGAAAGGCUUGGUGACGAGGGACAAGGUGGAAAGGUGCAUCAAGGAUGUCAUGGAUGGUGAUAGUAAGGAUAAGUAUAGGAAGAGUGCCACUAUGUGGAUGCAAAAGGCCAAGGCAGCUAUGCAGAAUGGAGGGAGUUCGGACAAGAAUAUUACAGAAUUCAUCGCUAAGUAUUCUUUAAGUUAAUUUUCAAAGAUUUCGUAAAAAAGUUAAUUUUCAAAGGUAUAAUGAUAGUGUUAUAAUUACUUUCUACCUUCGUGGAUUGUAUGCUGCAUGUUAUAUUUUGUCUCAGGAUUGUGCGUAUUACGUUUUGACUUGAUGCUGUAGAUGCUACAACAGCAACCUCCACGUCUAAAAAUAUAUACAUUGUUAUGCGCUAUCCUUUGAAACUUUAUAAUCACAUUAUCUUUACAACUAAUUAAGUACUCAUUGUAGGCGUCCACACGCCGCGAGCUCGGGGCGGGACAGCCUCCACGGUGGCGGGGUCACGCUGAACAGGGAGCCGCUGCAGGGCCGGCACCUGCACGCCAUCUCCGUGUAUGUGAGCAGGAUACUGACCGUGCGCGAGACGUUGCUGUUCGCUGCCGAGUUCCGCCUGCCCUGCGCGCUUUCCUCAGAGCGGAAGCGCGUGGGCGUCGACCAGCUCGGCCUCUUCUACACCGCCGACACCAUCAUCGGCAACAGGGGCCACCACGGCACGUCCUCGGCAGCGGCGACCUGUACGCGGUGUGUGCUGGUGAUGCAAGUGGCGGCGUGGGCGUGGGCGUGGGCGGCCUAUACGAGGUCGUGUACAACAACGUCGUUAGUCUAUGUGUCAAGGCCAUUGGGUGGAGGCCCGAGCGGAGGUUCAAGUGGAAGCUCCUCGACGGCUCGACGGGGAGAAGAGGAGCGCCCACUUCCCUAUGGUCCUGGUCCAGAUGCCCAUGUAUAACGAGCUGGAGGUGCAUAAGCUGUUAGCGGCAGCAUGUGAGCUGCAGUGGUCGAAGGACAGGAUAAUAGUUCAAGUGGUGGACUAUUCUACUGAUCCCUUUAUCAAGACCUGAAGAUGAAAGAAGAGCACCGGCCCACUUUGCUUCAUAGGACCACUAUAUGGAAUGGUAUGCAGUUGGUGGACUCUGGCUUUUGUAGCGUAACAUAGUGGUCCAUGGUGCACUUAGAAAGGACAAUCUAAUCAUGAUGCAAUGACAUCAUAUGUGAUUCAUGAUAUAGCAUCGACAUCAUGGUUCAAUUAUCGUGAUAUAUGUUCCCGUUGCAACGCAUGGGCACUC
Molecule: RNA transcript, 2494 nt
Organism: Zea mays
Lineage: Eukaryota; Viridiplantae; Streptophyta; Magnoliopsida; Poales; Poaceae
Gene name: UDP-glycosyltransferase superfamily pseudogene
Exons: 5
Source: RefSeq, marked validated